GAGCAAAACAGCUAUGGGUCAAGUAGGAGAACUAAGGGGCGAAGCUCCUCUUAUUGUGAGGGCGAGAAAAAAACACCAUAGGACUGGCCGUCCCAUAUGAAAAGAUUAUAUUAGAAUUGAAUGAAGCUUUGUUUAUAUAUUGUCUUCGAGAGUGUAUAUAUCGUGUCUUGACUAAUUGCGUGCCAGCAGUCGCGGUAAUACGUAAGAGACUAGUGUUAUUCAUCUUAAUUAGGUUUAAAGGGUACCCAGACGGUCAAUAUAGCUUAUAAAAUGUUAGUACUUGACUAGAGUUUUAUGUAAGAGGGCAGUACUUGAGGAGGAGAGAUGAAAUUUCGUGAUACCAAAGGGACUCUGUAAAGGCGAAGGCAGCCCUCUAUGUAUUUUUCUGACGUUGAAGGACGAAGGCACAGAGAACAAACAGGAUUAGAUACCCAAGUAGUCUUUGCAGUAAAUGAUGAAUGCCAUAGGUUAGAUGGGUGGGCUCGUCUAGUUGAGUUAGUUUAGCAAACUAAUGAUCUAGACGAGCCCACCGUAUAUUUGGUCUAUAAAUGAAAGUGUAAGCAUUUCACCUCAAGAGUAAUGUGGCAACGCA
RNAcentral lists this ribosomal RNA (592 nucleotides) under Fusarium oxysporum f. sp. ciceris. Its description in RNAcentral is "SSU rRNA". It matches the Rfam family "Bacterial small subunit ribosomal RNA", at positions 328 to 895 of the family's 1533-position model. Lineage: Eukaryota; Fungi; Ascomycota; Sordariomycetes; Hypocreales; Nectriaceae. The record is from RNAcentral.